Nerophis lumbriciformis (worm pipefish) is the source of this 709-nucleotide long non-coding RNA. RefSeq lists it as uncharacterized. Lineage: Eukaryota; Metazoa; Chordata; Actinopteri; Syngnathiformes; Syngnathidae. The record is from RefSeq and is a predicted model, not a curated record.
GCCAGGUGCGGUGGCUAAGCCUGGGGACAUAUGAAGCCGGUGCCGAACAUCAGGGACGUGUUGCGACGAGAGAGUGUGUCGAUGAUAAGAUAUUAAACAGAGUUGGCCAGGUCCCUAAGUCUUGGAUGGCGAGCUGUAGAUAGGCCUCGAGCCUGAGCCCAAGGAUCUCCACCUCUCAACCCCUGAACUCCACCUGCUCUGUUCGGGCCGGUAGGCGGCUUAUAGCCGAACCCCUUGUCUCGCACCUCAUUGCUCUGCGGCCCUUUGCACUACCUCACACACACCCUGCCCAUAAACUGAACUCUCACUACAAACUGCCAUAUCCACAACCCCAACCCGUGUGGCUGUAUGAACUGUGAAUGCGCAUAUGGACUGCGAUCAGUCUCAUAUGACCUUUAUGAACUUUAAGAACUUUUGAUACUACCUGUUAUGAAUUACCUGUACCUUUGCUGUUUUUUUCUUUUGUUUUGAAUGGCCAUUCCUAUCAAUGUCUGUCCACUAUUUGUUGCACUGUACAUAUUUAAAUAACACCAGUAUAAUUUAAAGCAUUUAAUUGUGUCUGUCCUACUAUCUCCGAGUCGUAAUCUAGACUUCUGAUUAGCCCAAAUAUUGAGAACUUCUAAUAUACUAGCUAACAUACCUGUUACAGAAUGUUUAAACAUGUUUAAAGAAUGUGAUUCUUUUAUAAAGCUAUCAAUCUCAUUCCAGA